CGCCUGUUUAACAAAAACAUGGCUGUGUGGCUUAUUAGUAUAGAGUCUAGCCUGCCCACUGAGUUUUUAAAGGGCUGCGGUAAUUUGACCGUGCAAAGGUAGCAUAAUCAAUAGUCUUUUAAUUGGAGGCUUGAAUGAACGGCUGGAUAAGAGAGAAGCUGUCUUUUUUUCAAAUUAGAAUUUGACUUUUAAGUGAAAAGGCUUAAAUUAAUUAGGGGGACGAUAAGACCCUAUAAAACUUGAUAAAAGGCUUAUUUUAACUAUAAAUUAUAUUUAAAAGUUGUGAAAUUCUCUUUUUAUUUUGUUGGGGCGACAUUGAUAUAAGCUGUAACUGUCUUGAUAAUAAAAUAGUUAUCACUACAAUCUGAUCCUUUUUUAGGGAUAAUAAGUAUAAGUUACUUUAGGGAUAACAGCGUAAUUUUGGCAGAGAGCCUUAUACAAGACCGA
This 447-nucleotide ribosomal RNA is filed under the name Palaemon styliferus. Its description in RNAcentral is "partial large subunit ribosomal RNA". It matches the Rfam family "Bacterial large subunit ribosomal RNA", at positions 1797 to 2514 of the family's 2925-position model. Lineage: Eukaryota; Metazoa; Arthropoda; Malacostraca; Decapoda; Palaemonidae. The record is from RNAcentral.